GUAACGGUGAACCGCAAGAGUGUCAUUACUAGAGCGCCUUGAUUUUGAACAACAACGCAGCCGUCUCAUCUUUUAGAGCUGUCCCAGAGAUGCUGACUAGCCUAGCAACUGCUAGAAGGGCUCUGACCAGAUAAAAAGAUCAUGCUGAUCUGCAAAGCAUUUAAAGACACUGUCACAAAAAUCAGCAAAGGAACAGCUUGCCAAGUAGAAGCAACAAUAAAAUCAUGGUUAAGAAAGUCAAGAGACAGAGAUGGUGGGCGCCAAGGAAUGGCCAAAACUCAGAAAGGACUUACUUUUAAUGAAAUUUUUUGGAGUUAAAAAUGGCUUUUUCUUUUCUGUGUUUAUUCAUGUUUGAUUUUGUAUUAAAUAUAAUUCUGUUUCAAUAUCAUACAGUUGUUAAUUUUUUUGUUAUUAAACUCUGUAAAUAAAUAAUUACUAACAUGA
RNAcentral lists this long non-coding RNA (444 nucleotides) under Danio rerio (zebrafish). Its description in RNAcentral is "lncRNA si:ch211-262i1.2 (ENSDARG00000100639.2)". Lineage: Eukaryota; Metazoa; Chordata; Actinopteri; Cypriniformes; Danionidae. The record is from RNAcentral.